GGUUAUAGGGCUGCUUAUGGGGCCGGUUAUAGGGCUGCUUAUGGGGCCGGUUAUAGGGCUGCUUAUGGGGCCGGUUAUAGGGCUGCUUAUGGGGCAGGUUAUAGGGCUGCUUAUGGGGCCGGUUAUAGGGCUGCUUAUGGGGCAGGUUAUAGGGCUGCCUAUGGGGCUGGUUGUAGGGCAGCCUGUGGGCCCCAUUGUAGAGUGGUCUAUGGGGUUGGUUGUAGGGCUGCCCGUGUUGCCGGCUGUAGGCCAGGCUGUGGGAUAGGCUAUGGGGCUGCUUAUGGGGUCAGUCCCAAGGCUCCCCCUUAUCUGCACAGGGAGGCCCCAGGCAGCUUUCCCCUCCCCCAGCCCUCCGAGGGGCCCUCUCAGCGUUCCUCACCCUCGGGGCUUCCCCUCCCCUGCCUGCCCCCGGCGGGGCUCCCCCCUUUUUACCCCAAAUCGAGGGGCGAGGAGAAGCUUGGGGCUGCAGGGCGGGGGGGCGAUCACACAGCCACCCCUCUCCUAAAUCCCCCGGGGGGGGGUCGGUGCCCCCCCAGUGCUGUAAUCCAGCGCCUUGUGCCCCGGGGCAGCAGGCUGCGGGUGAAAUGGGCUCUGUAAAGGAAAGGGCAGCUCGGAUUAUGAAACCCCGUGCGUGCCGCCCGGCAGAUUACGCUUCCUUAGCGAGGGCUCGGGGCCCGACCCGUGAAGUUUGGAUUACAAACAGCCGCUGCUGGGCUUUCUGCUGACGGCAGCGGUGGGGCUGGGCAGAGCUUGCGAGGGCUGCCGAGUCCCUGCUGCGGGUCCUGAGCCGUGUCGGGGAGCAGAGCCACCCUCUGUGGGGUGCUGGGGGCUCAGAAGGGGUCCCCUGGGUCACGGCAGUUUGGUCCUCGGGGUGCUUUGUGACCUGCCUGGGGGGUUGGGUGUGUGGUUUUGGGGUCAGACCCUGCUGGGGGUGGCAGCACCGUUUGUGGAGGGGCUUUGGGGGCUGCUCCAGGCAUGCAGAGGGAGCCGUGGUGCUGUGUCGGGGCAGGCAGCACUCCACGGAUCAUCAUUUCUGAGCCCCGUGCCCUUAGGCAUCAACUUUGGGGUCUGGAGGGGUGAGAAAACCCCAAAGCUGUUUGGGUUUGCUGGUCCUGAGAGAAUAACCCCACGGGUUUUAGGGUCAGCAGGGGCUGCUGUGCCCUGGGCUGGCUGCAAACGUUGUCUGUGAGCACGAGACGCCUCUUGGAUAACUCUCCUCAGCUUGGGUAUCUCCUUCCAGGGCUUUCCAAGAGCUGACUUGCCUGGAAUUUGCAGAACCCGACUGCAGGGCUGGCGAGCUGCUUUGGGAUCCGGGGAAGCUGCUUGGAAGAGGAGGCGGCGGCCGCCCGCAGCUGGCGGUGGUCCUGGCGCUGCAAACAGAGCGA
RNAcentral lists this long non-coding RNA (1385 nucleotides) under Anas zonorhyncha (Eastern spot-billed duck). RNAcentral describes it as "lncRNA (ENSAZOG00000018705.1)". Lineage: Eukaryota; Metazoa; Chordata; Aves; Anseriformes; Anatidae. The record is from RNAcentral.